RNAcentral lists this ribosomal RNA (264 nucleotides) under uncultured bacterium. RNAcentral describes it as "partial 16S ribosomal RNA". It matches the Rfam family "Bacterial small subunit ribosomal RNA", at positions 521 to 784 of the family's 1533-position model. The record is from RNAcentral.
UAAUACGUAGGGAGCAAGCGUUGUCCGGAAUCAUUGGGCGUAAAGCGCGCGUAGGCGGCCCUGUAAGUCCGUUGUGAAAGUCAAAGGCUCAACCUUUGAAAGCCGAUGGAUACUGCAGGGCUAGAGUCCGGAAGAGGCGAGUGGAAUUCCUGGUGUAGCGGUGGAAUGCGCAGAUAUCAGGAGGAACACCAAUAGCGAAGGCAGCUCGCUGGGACGGUACUGACGCUAAGGCGCGAAAGCGUGGGGAGCGAACAGGAUUAGAUA